This 318-nucleotide ribosomal RNA is filed under the name uncultured Bacteroidota bacterium. RNAcentral describes it as "bacterial SSU rRNA". It matches the Rfam family "Bacterial small subunit ribosomal RNA", at positions 28 to 351 of the family's 1533-position model. The record is from RNAcentral. Lineage: Bacteria; Pseudomonadati; Bacteroidota.
GAUGAACGCUAGCGGCAGGCUUAACACAUGCAAGUCGAGGGGUAUAGUAGCAAUACUAGAGACCGGCGCACGGGUGCGUAACGCGUAUGCAAUCUACCUUUCACAGAGGGAUAGCCCAGAGAAAUUUGGAUUAAUACCUCAUAGUAUUAUAGUAUGGCAUCAUAUUAUAAUUAAAGUCACAACGGUGAAAGAUGAGCAUGCGUCCCAUUAGCUAGUUGGUAUGGUAACGGCAUACCAAGGCAACGAUGGGUAGGGGUCCUGAGAGGGAGAUCCCCCACACUGGUACUGAGACACGGACCAGACUCCUACGGGAGGCAG